UGAAAGUGUCAGCGCGGGCCUCCCCUCACCGGGAGCGUCCGCCGUUGGGAGGAUGGGCUUACCGGCGAUCACUCSYCGGCGCCCCGCACUCCCGGGGCGUCUCGUUCUCUCUCAGAGUGGAGACGCACCAGGAGCGCACACGCUGGUACCCGAAAGAUGGUGAACUAUGCCUGGCCAGGACGAAGCCAGGGGAAACCCUGGUGGAGGUCCGAAGCGAUUCUGACGUGCAAAUCGAUCGUCUGAGCUGGGUAUAGGGGSGAAAGACCAAUCGAACCWUCUAGUAGCUGGUUCCCUCUGAAGUUUCCCUCRGGAUAGCUGGCUCUCGGGACGAGACGAGUCUCAUCCGGUAGAGCGAAUGAUUAGAGGUGAUGGGGUCGAAACGACUUCAACCUAUUCUCAAACUCCCAAUAGAUGAGAGCCCCGGCUUGCUUGAAAGUGAAGCCGCGGGAUUCGGAUCAGAGAUGCCAAGUGGGCCAAUUUUGGUAAGCAGA
Molecule: ribosomal RNA, 491 nt
Filed under: Pachycoris torridus
Lineage: Eukaryota; Metazoa; Arthropoda; Insecta; Hemiptera; Scutelleridae
Description: eukaryotic LSU rRNA
Rfam family: Eukaryotic large subunit ribosomal RNA
Source: RNAcentral